GGGUUACGGAGAUGGAGAGAGGUUUGGAAUUUCCUUGGAAAAGGAAGGAAGUGUGCGGGUGCGUGCAUCACGAGUUUUGAUCAAUACAGUGAGCUCCCGCGAGAGCAUAGUUUAUUU
RNAcentral lists this non-coding RNA (117 nucleotides) under Amborella trichopoda. Lineage: Eukaryota; Viridiplantae; Streptophyta; Magnoliopsida; Amborellales; Amborellaceae. The record is from RNAcentral.